This 73-nucleotide transfer RNA is filed under the name Candidatus Kaiserbacteria bacterium. RNAcentral's name for it is "tRNA-Arg". It matches the Rfam family "tRNA". Rfam says of the family: Transfer RNA (tRNA) molecules are approximately 80 nucleotides in length. Their secondary structure includes four short double-helical elements and three loops (D, anti-codon, and T loops). Lineage: Bacteria; Candidatus Kaiseribacteriota. The record is from RNAcentral.
GCCCCCGUAGUUCAACGGAUCAGAACCGCGGACUUCUAAGCCGCUGAUGGGGGUUCGAUUCCCUCCGGGGGCG